GCAGUUCCGGCGAGGGGGGAGCCUCAGCAGGAUUGCUG
This 38-nucleotide small RNA is filed under the name Pan troglodytes (chimpanzee). RNAcentral describes it as "processed transcript". Lineage: Eukaryota; Metazoa; Chordata; Mammalia; Primates; Hominidae. The record is from RNAcentral.